GGCUAGGUGGCGGAGUGGUUAACGCGGUAGACUCGAAUAUGCAUUAAUGCAUAGUUGCAAUCUACUUCCUUCGGGAGCGUCUGUUCGAAUCAGGCCCUAGUCG
Poronia punctata is the source of this 103-nucleotide non-coding RNA. The record is from the annotation of a GenBank genome assembly. Lineage: Eukaryota; Fungi; Ascomycota; Sordariomycetes; Xylariales; Xylariaceae.